RNAcentral lists this ribosomal RNA (508 nucleotides) under Glomus sp. Glo20. RNAcentral's name for it is "SSU rRNA". It matches the Rfam family "Eukaryotic small subunit ribosomal RNA", at positions 569 to 1078 of the family's 1831-position model. Lineage: Eukaryota; Fungi; Glomeromycota; Glomeromycetes; Glomerales; Glomeraceae. The record is from RNAcentral.
AGCAGCCGCGGUAAUUCCAGCUCCAAUAGCGUAUAUUAAAGUUGUUGCAGUUAAAAAGCUCGUAGUUGAAUUUCGGGAUCAAUUUAUCGGUCGUGCCUACGGUAUGAACUGGUACAAUUGGUUUCUCCCUUCUGACGAAGCUCGAUGUCAUUAACUUGGUGUCGGGGGGAGUCAGGACUGUUACUUUGAAAAAAUUAGAGUGUUUAAAGCAGGCCUUGGCUUGAAUACAUUAGCAUGGAAUAAUGAAAUAGGACGUUUGAUCCUAUUUCGUUGGUUUCUAGGAUCGACGUAAUGAUUAAUAGGGAUAGUUGGGGGCAUUAGUAUUCAAUUGUCAGAGGUGAAAUUCUUGGAUUUAUUGAAGACUAACUACUGCGAAAGCAUUUGCCAAGGAUGUUUUCAUUAAUCAAGAACGAAAGUUAGGGGAUCGAAGACGAUCAGAUACCGUCGUAGUCUUAACCAUAAACUAUGCCGACUAGGGAUCGGAUGAUGUUAAUUUUUUAAUGACUCA